This 601-nucleotide long non-coding RNA is filed under the name Homo sapiens (human). RNAcentral describes it as "HSALNT0365503". Lineage: Eukaryota; Metazoa; Chordata; Mammalia; Primates; Hominidae. The record is from RNAcentral.
GCCCUAACACAAGAGUGUGCGUGAAUAUAGGUGAUUGUGUUUCAAAAAGGAGGGAGAAGGAGGCCUGAAUGCCUCUCAGAGUGCAUUGUGUCUGGGGCUAGUAGGGUUGCCCCUUGUUCUGUGAUGUCACAAUGCCCAAACACACGCACCAAGAAGUCAUCAAAGACAGCCCAACUCACAGCCCAUGAGGGACCCUGAGUACUGCCUCUGACCUCUCUAUGGCAAGCCAAAUGGCCAUGGGAAGACCCCAUGGAGUGUCAGAAUGAUGCCGUUGAGGGCAAGGAUUUUAGACCGGUCAUGGAUUCUGCCUGUGCACUGGGCUCUACCACUUUCUAGCUAUCUGGCUACUAGCAAGUUACCUUAACAAUCUAAGUUUCAACCUCCCCAUUCGUGAAAUGGAGAUGAUGUCUUAGUCAUAGAAGUAGCAAGUCUACUGCAUAUCAACAGUGUAGCACUGAGCCUGGCUCUUUGUAAGUGUUCAAUAAGGAAACAGGCCGAGAGACGCAAGUCAAACAGCAAAGGAUGGUCUGCUGUCUGUCUGACUCCAAUGCCAAUGGUCUUUCCUCUAUAACCUAAAGCAAUAAAACCCCUGCAACAUCUA